RNAcentral lists this unclassified non-coding RNA (285 nucleotides) under uncultured Saccharomycopsis. RNAcentral's name for it is "sequence contains ITS2". Lineage: Eukaryota; Fungi; Ascomycota; Saccharomycetes; Ascoideales; Saccharomycopsidaceae. The record is from RNAcentral.
AACGCAUAUUGCACUCUAUAGUAUUCUGUAGAGUAUGCUUGUUUGAGCGUCAUUUCACUCUUAAACCUCUAGGUUUAGUUAUGGAGGAAGUGGGGAUACUCUUUCCACUCCUCUGAAAUGACUCGGCAGGUCCUUUAGUGGCUAUUUAUAGCUUUGGAGAAUUUAUUACUAGGUUUUACCAUUUUAAUAAAUACCUCUAAGCUAGGUUACUCUAGGUUAUCGGCCUAAUCAACUGUCAUCAUAAAUUUUGACCUCAAAUCAAGUAAGGAUACCCACUGAACUUAA